RNAcentral lists this ribosomal RNA (254 nucleotides) under Wolbachia endosymbiont of Drosophila tristis. RNAcentral describes it as "partial 23S ribosomal RNA". It matches the Rfam family "Bacterial large subunit ribosomal RNA", at positions 1 to 262 of the family's 2925-position model. The record is from RNAcentral. Lineage: Bacteria; Pseudomonadati; Pseudomonadota; Alphaproteobacteria; Rickettsiales; Anaplasmataceae.
AGUGAGCGCGAUAAGGGCAUUCGGUGGAUGCCUUGGCACCAGGAGGCGAUGAAGGACGUAGCACGCUGCGAAAAGCUACGGGGAGCCGCGAGCAGGCUUUGAUCCGUAGAUAUCCGAAUGGGGCAACCCACCCGCAAGGGUAUCGUGGUCUGAAUACAUAGGACUACGAGGCGAACCCGGGGAACUGAAACAUCUCAGUACCUGGAGGAAAAGACAUCAAUUGAGAUUCUGCUAGUAGUGGCGAGCGAACGCGG